AUUGAACGCUGGCGGCAGGCCUAACACAUGCAAGUCGAGCGGAUGAAGGGAGCUUGCUCCUGGAUUCAGCGGCGGACGGGUGAGUAAUGCCUAGGAAUCUGCCUGGUAGUGGAGGAUAACGUCCGGAAACGGGCGCUAAUACCGCAUACGUCCUGAGGGAGAAAGUGGGGGAUCUUCGGACCUCACGCUAUCAGAUGAGCCUAGGUCGGAUUAGCUAGUUGGUGGGGUAAAGGCCUACCAAGGCGACGAUCCGUAACUGGUCUGAGAGGAUGAUCAGUCACACUGGAACUGAGACACGGUCCAGACUCCUACGGGAGGCAGCAGUGGGGAAUAUUGGACAAUGGGCGAAAGCCUGAUCCAGCCAUGCCGCGUGUGUGAAGAAGGUCUUCGGAUUGUAAAGCACUUUAAGUUGGGAGGAAGGGCAGUAAGUUAAUACCUUGCCGUUUUGACGUUACCAACAGAAUAAGCACCGGCUAACUUCGUG
RNAcentral lists this ribosomal RNA (484 nucleotides) under uncultured bacterium. Its description in RNAcentral is "partial 16S ribosomal RNA". It matches the Rfam family "Bacterial small subunit ribosomal RNA", at positions 30 to 507 of the family's 1533-position model. The record is from RNAcentral.